Molecule: ribosomal RNA, 305 nt
Filed under: uncultured bacterium
Lineage: Bacteria
Description: bacterial SSU rRNA
Rfam family: Bacterial small subunit ribosomal RNA
Source: RNAcentral
GGGGUCCUACGGGAGGCAGCAGUGGGGGAUAUUGCACAAUGGGGGAAACCCUGAUGCAGCAACGCCGCGUGAGGGAAGAAGGUUUUCGGAUUGUAAACCUCUGUCCCGGGUGAAGAAUAGAUGACGGUAGCCCGGGAGGAAGCUCCGGCUAACUACGUGCCAGCAGCCGCGGUAAUACGUAGGGAGCGAGCGUUGUCCGGAAUUACUGGGUGUAAAGGGUGCGUAGGCGGCCUUGUGGGUCAGGCGUGAAAUACAUGGGCUUAACCCAUGGACUGCGCUUGAAACUAUAAGGCUUGAGUGAAGUA